This 345-nucleotide unclassified non-coding RNA is filed under the name soil metagenome. RNAcentral's name for it is "partial contains 5.8S ribosomal RNA, internal transcribed spacer 2, and large subunit ribosomal RNA". The stretch from base 2 to 119 matches the Rfam family "5.8S ribosomal RNA", at positions 37 to 154 of the family's 154-position model. The record is from RNAcentral.
GUGAAGAACGCAGCGAAAUGCGAUAAGUAAUGUGAAUUGCAGAAUUCAGUGAAUCAUCGAAUCUUUGAACGCACAUUGCGCCCGCCAGUAUUCUGGCGGGCAUGCCUGUCUGAGCGUCAUUUCAACCCUCAUGCCCCUAGGGCGUGGUGUUGGGGAUCGGCCCGCCCCGCGCGGCGCCGUCCCCCAAAUACAGUGGCGGUCCCGCCGCAGCCUCCCCUGCGCAGUAGUUAUCAACUCGCACUGGAGCGCGGCGCGGCCACGCCGUAAAACCCCCGACUUUUAGAAAGUUGACCUCGGAUCAGGUAGGAAUACCCGCUGAACUUAAGCAUAUCAAUAAGCGGAGGA